CGUCUUAGUUCGUGGAGUGAUCUGUCUGCUUAAUUGCGUUUCACUAAGGGCCCAUAAAUUCAAGGUAUGUUAGCUAUCGUUUCUCAAUUGACCCCUUGUCUUCGAUAAGCGCGUGUCUUUUAGAGUUUAAACAUUGCGCAUGCUGUUGGGUCCUGAAAGCAACGAACGUGACCGCAACGUCUUAUUGCCUUUAUCUUGCUAUAUUUUAAUUUAAUUAAAAAUAGCUAACAGAGGCUAAUUUAAAAUUAGACGGACCGCUGUACUUUUCUUAAACCAGAGGAAGGUUGCGGCAAUAACAGGUCUGUGAUGCCCUUAGAUGUUCCGGGCUGCACACGUGCUACAAUGAUCAGUACAGUGAGCAUCUCAAUAUUAUACACCGUAUUAAGCGCUUAGUUGCGAUUAUUGGCUCAUUAUUGGGUCUUUUAAUUGUAUUUCUAAUGCGCGCGGUAAAGCCUGCUUCGAGAGUAAGUGGGUAAUCCAUUGGAAGUAAUGAUUUCUCUUUUUAUAGCACACCUAUAUACGGCAUUCAUUCCCGGGACGACUAGUUUCGUCUUUUUUGUGCGAAUGUAAUGUAUUCUUUAUCCGUAUGUGCGAUUGUCAAUUCAUGGUGG
Molecule: ribosomal RNA, 611 nt
Filed under: Neogloboquadrina dutertrei
Lineage: Eukaryota; Foraminifera; Rotaliida; Globorotaliidae
Description: SSU rRNA
Rfam family: Eukaryotic small subunit ribosomal RNA (bases 1-447)
Source: RNAcentral